AAUGAACGCUGGCGGCGUGCCUAAUACAUGCAAGUCGAGCGAACGGACGAGAAGCUUGCUUCUCUGAUGUUAGCGGCGGACGGGUGAGUAACACGUGGAUAACCUACCUAUAAGACUGGGAUAACUUCGGGAAACCGGAGCUAAUACCGGAUAAUAUUUUGAACCGCAUGGUUCAAAAGUGAAAGACGGUCUUGCUGUCACUUAUAGAUGGAUCCGCGCUGCAUUAGCUAGUUGGUAAGGUAACGGCUUACCAAGGCAACGAUGCAUAGCCGACCUGAGAGGGUGAUCGGCCACACUGGAACUGAGACACGGUCCAGACUCCUACGGGAGGCAGCAGUAGGGAAUCUUCCGCAAAGGGCGAAAGCCUGACGGAGCAACGCCGCGUGAGUGAUGAAGGUCUUCGGAUCGUAAAACUCUGUUAUUAGGGAAGAACAUAUGUGUAAGUAACUGUGCACAUCUUGACGGUACCUAAUCAGAAAGCCACGGCUAACUACGUG
This 497-nucleotide ribosomal RNA is filed under the name uncultured bacterium. RNAcentral describes it as "partial 16S ribosomal RNA". It matches the Rfam family "Bacterial small subunit ribosomal RNA", at positions 29 to 507 of the family's 1533-position model. The record is from RNAcentral.